GCUCAGAUUGAACGCUGGCGGCAUGCUUUACACAUGCAAGUCGAAACGGUAACAGGUCUUCGGAUGCUGACGAGUGGCGAACGGGUGAGUAAUACAUCGGAACGUGCCUAGUAGUGGGGGAUAACUACUCGAAAGAGUAGCUAAUACCGCAUGAGAUCUACGGAUGAAAGCAGGGGACCUUCGGGCCUUGUGCUACUAGAGCGGCUGAUGGCAGAUUAGGUAGUUGGUGGGGUAAAGGCUUACCAAGCCUGCGAUCUGUAGCUGGUCUGAGAGGACGACCAGCCACACUGGGACUGAGACACGGCCCAGACUCCUACGGGAGGCAGCAGUGGGGAAUUUUGGACAAUGGGCGAAAGCCUGAUCCAGCAAUGCCGCGUGCAGGAUGAAGGCCCUCGGGUUGUAAACUGCUUUUGUACGGAACGAAAAGCCUGGGGCUAAUAUCCCCGGGUCAUGACGGUACCGUAAGAAUAAGCACCGGCUAACUACGUGCCAGCAGCCGCGGUAAUACGUAGGGUGCAAGCGUUAAUCGGAAUUACUGGGCGUAAAGCGUGCGCAGGCGGUUUUGUAAGACAGUGGUGAAAUCCCCGGGCUCAACCUGGGAACUGCCAUUGUGACUGCAAGGCUAGAGUGCGGCAGAGGGGGAUGGAAUUCCGCGUGUAGCAGUGAAAUGCGUAGAUAUGCGGAGGAACACCGAUGGCGAAGGCAAUCCCCUGGGCCUGCACUGACG
RNAcentral lists this ribosomal RNA (727 nucleotides) under Comamonas sp. CCM-067. Its description in RNAcentral is "bacterial SSU rRNA". It matches the Rfam family "Bacterial small subunit ribosomal RNA", at positions 22 to 745 of the family's 1533-position model. Lineage: Bacteria; Pseudomonadati; Pseudomonadota; Betaproteobacteria; Burkholderiales; Comamonadaceae. The record is from RNAcentral.